CGUAGGUGGCAAGCGUUGUCCGGAAUUAUUGGGCGUAAAGCGCGCGCAGGCGGUCCUUUAAGUCUGAUGUGAAAGCCCACGGCUCAACCGUGGAGGGUCAUUGGAAACUGGGGGACUUGAGUACAGAAGAGAAGAGUGGAAUUCCACGUGUAGCGGUGAAAUGCGUAGAGAUGUGGAGGAACACCAGUGGCGAAGGCGACUCUUUGGUCUGUAACUGACGCUGAGGCGCGAAAGCGUGGGGAGCAAACAGGAUUAGAUACCCUGGUAGUCCACGCCGUAAACGAUGAGUGCUAAGUGUUAGAGGGUUUCCGCCUUUAGUGCUGCAGCAAACGCAUUAAGCACUCCGCCUGGGGAGUACGGCCGCAAGGCUG
RNAcentral lists this ribosomal RNA (371 nucleotides) under uncultured organism. Its description in RNAcentral is "bacterial SSU rRNA". It matches the Rfam family "Bacterial small subunit ribosomal RNA", at positions 526 to 896 of the family's 1533-position model. The record is from RNAcentral.